AUGAGUAUACAUUUCAGAUUUGAAAUGACAAGACUAAAAUGUGCAUUAAUGCUCAACUCAAUAGCUUAGGGAAGGAAGUCUACUUUUACACAACUUUUUAUUCUUUUGACAUUUUUUUUUACCAAAUACUAAUGUAGUUCAUUUCUUAAAAUGGGAUGGAACAGAGUCAUUGCAUAAUUUUUAAAAUGAUUUAGAAAUGUAGUCUUCCCAGAUCAAUAUCACAUAAUAUCAACUUCUCCCAUCUAAACUGGACAAAGGGUUUUAAAAUGGGAAGAAAAUGGUUUGAUUGUAAGUUGUUUGGAGGAGAUCUAUUUUUAUUUGAACAGCUGAAGCAUGAAUACAGUCUUCCAAUGUCCAAACCCUCCUCCUCCUCCUGAAGCUUGUGGAGCUCCUUCAUGUACUGCCGUCUUAUCUGCUGGCCAUCUUCUCUCACCAGAACUUCGACUGUUGAAAAGUCAUUCUGAAGAAGCUCGAGCAUGUGACAUGGAUCCAGGAGAACAUGGACUUUUAGUGCGGGGUCUUCAGGAUGGCAAAGAAAGAGAGAAAAUAUCAGUUAUUCAUUAAAUCAUUUUGUUUGUUCUCA
Molecule: long non-coding RNA, 583 nt
Organism: Labrus mixtus (cuckoo wrasse)
Lineage: Eukaryota; Metazoa; Chordata; Actinopteri; Labriformes; Labridae
Exons: 2
Source: RefSeq, a predicted model, not a curated record